GGGGGCAUAGCUCAGCUGGGAGAGCACCUGCCUUGCAAGCAGGGGGUCAGCGGUUCGAUCCCGCUUGUCUCCACCA
This 76-nucleotide transfer RNA is filed under the name Desulforamulus ruminis. RNAcentral describes it as "tRNA-Ala". It matches the Rfam family "tRNA". Rfam says of the family: Transfer RNA (tRNA) molecules are approximately 80 nucleotides in length. Their secondary structure includes four short double-helical elements and three loops (D, anti-codon, and T loops). RNAcentral also lists the same sequence under 3 other names. Lineage: Bacteria; Bacillati; Bacillota; Clostridia; Eubacteriales; Peptococcaceae. The record is from RNAcentral.